Long non-coding RNA from Daphnia pulicaria, 383 nucleotides. RefSeq lists it as uncharacterized. The record is from RefSeq and is a predicted model, not a curated record. The transcript has 3 exons. Lineage: Eukaryota; Metazoa; Arthropoda; Branchiopoda; Diplostraca; Daphniidae.
UCAAUAGCGAUUCAAAUCUAUUUAGAUUUGUUGACCGUAGGUUUUCUUGGCUCAUCGGCACGUUUUUCUUUUACACGACUUGAAUUAGAAUGGAAAUAGAAAUGUUUUAAAUUCCCCAACUGACCGACGGCAAUGAUAUUACGAGGAAAUAGUAAGUCGAAAGAUUAGGUAAUUUAGGUUGGCUGGCGGAGUGUUCGCAGAAUCUUUACGUAUUGCAACUGCUAAGCUCUUUAAUGGCGAUUUUUCAUCUGCUUAAGGUUUACAUUCCUUUCCUUGUUCUGCUUCAGGUUUUCUAUUUACUACCACAUCUGUAGUUCUCUUUGCUCCAACUAUAUUUAAAGUUAACAGGACUCAGAUGUAAAAUUGUUGAAACAACAGCAAAA